ACAGCAACAGCUGGACUGCUUCCAAGUGGAAGUGCUCACAGAACAACCAUGCAACAGCCACUGGCCACACUGACAGAGAAGCUGAUAACUAAUCAGAGUCAAACUGAGCCUAUCAACCCUUUUCCAUGUCCACAAAGAUAAACAUGAGCGAGCCUGAGAUAAAACACCACGGAGUGCACUUCCCUGGGACCAUUUUGAGAGCUUUGGACCUCUGGGAACACAGAUGUGACCCAGCAGGAUGGCCACACCACCCACAGGGCAGUAGAGGUGGACAGCAAAUGCAGAGAAACUGCAUCAUAAAUGCCUGUAGCUCUUCCUGUGGGUGUGAGGAACCUGUCUCUCAACCCAGCUUGAAUGGGAUUUGUUUCUGCAGCAGGAAUAAUCCUAAGUCAUCCAUUCUGACGCCGGAGACUCAGCACUUUCAGUUUCAGAAGUUCAUCAUCAUGGUGGGAACCCUGGCAGC
RNAcentral lists this long non-coding RNA (463 nucleotides) under Mus pahari (shrew mouse). RNAcentral's name for it is "lncRNA (MGP_PahariEiJ_G0005768.1)". Lineage: Eukaryota; Metazoa; Chordata; Mammalia; Rodentia; Muridae. The record is from RNAcentral.